CAUAUGAUCAUCUAAGCACUGGUCACCUCCACUCCAUGCAGCAGGAUGCAGAAGAACAGGGAAGAACAAGACAGUGAUGAUCCCAAGCACCACGAUGCAAGAUCAAGGCCACUUGGACUCCCAGCAGAGAGAAUGGUAUUGCUUGGCUGAACACACAGAAGGUGGCUGCAAACACCUCAACUUCUUGGCUUAGUUUCUAGAAGUCAGAGCUACUUGAGAUUAGGAGGAGAGAUGACUUUGAGGACACAGAGAAAUAGGAACGAUUACUCCAGAUUGUGAAGAAGGUGGAAGUAACAAUCCUAUGAAAAGAAUUCGAAUCCAGCUCACCACAGGUAACCGAAACGGUGGUUCAUGAGUUCCAGGACUCAAGUGAUCUUCUACUCAUCAGUGGGGGUUGGAGGGGAACAAUGCCUCUGUAAAUGCUCCAAGAGCUCCAAAGUGUCCUUCGGAUGAAACAAAACAUUUGACUACAAUACACGAAGCUUCCAUCACCUGGCCACAGCCUAACCUCCAGAGAGCAUGACUAUGACAGCUUCCCUACAAGAGAUGCUACUGUGGUUCCGUCUUACAGACAAGCCAACCAAGGCUGGGAGAGUUUAAGAUCUGGCCCAAAGUCACCCAGAGAGUGACAAAGCACACCCACCAGUGUACUGCCUGCCCCCUGGCCCAUUUUCCCUUGGCCACAUCCCCAAUAAAAAGUCCUGGCAGAUCAGGUCUUCGUGAUUGUGACCUACUUACAGCCACCACAAAUCAUAGAGCAGCAUGGGCUGUUCUCCAACUGAAACUAAUUUAAAAUAAUUUACUUUUUUGAAGAAUUAUAAUGAGAAUCCAUAGUUAUAGAUAAUUUAGAUGAAAGCUGUUCUCGUGACCCAGUAAAAAUAAAGAGACAGCAUAUGGUUUGGAAUAAAUGUGAUUCUCGAGAAUGCAAUCUAGAUAAUCACUGAAUUAUUAUAAUCAUUCUGGGGCAUGUUUUUAUCUUUGUUGAUUUUUUCCUGUCCACUGGGACUGUAGUUGUAUAAUAAUAACACAGGUUUAGAGGACUCUGAUCUCCAGUUGCUUAGCAACCCACAGCUUUGAAGAGAAUGAGGGAUCAAGGGUCGAUGGCAAAAUAACGCUGUUUGCAAUUCAACAGUUAUUUAAAAGUUCUAGAAUUAUAAAAACUGUUCUGCUUUAAAUACAAGUAUGCAAAUGAA
This is a long non-coding RNA of Marmota monax (woodchuck), 1193 nucleotides long. RefSeq lists it as uncharacterized. The transcript is spliced from 3 exons. The record is from RefSeq and is a predicted model, not a curated record. Lineage: Eukaryota; Metazoa; Chordata; Mammalia; Rodentia; Sciuridae.